AGCGUGGGUAGCAAACAGGAUUAGAUACCCUGGUAGUCCACGCCGUAAACGAUGUCGACCAGCCGUUGGGUGCCUAGCGCACUUUGUGGCGAAGUUAACGCGAUAAGUCGACCGCCUGGGGAGUACGGCCGCAAGGUUAAAACUCAAAUGAAUUGACGGGGGCCCGCACAAGCGGUGGAGCAUGUGGUUUAAUUCGAUGCAACGCGAAGAACCUUACCUACUCUUGACAUCCUGGGAAUUUGGUAGAGAUACCUUAGUGCCUUCGGGAACGCAGAGACAGGUGCUGCAUGGCUGUCGUCAGCUCGUGUUGUGAAAUGUUGGGUUAAGUCCCGUAACGAGCGCAACCCUUGUCCUUAUUUGCCAGCGCGUAAUGGCGGGAACUCUAAGGAGACUGCCGGUGACAAACCGGAGGAAGGUGGGGACGACGUCAAGUCAUCAUGGCCCUUACGAGUAGGGCUACACACGUGCUACAAUGGUCGGUACAAAGGGUUGCCAACUCGCGAGAGUGAGCCAAUCCCGAAAAGCCGAUCUCAGUCCGGAUCGGAGUCUGCAACUCGACUCCGUGAAGUCGGAAUCGCUAGUAAUCGUGGAUCAGAAUGCCACGGUGAAUACGUUCCCGGGCCUUGUACACACCGCCCGUCACACCAUGG
RNAcentral lists this ribosomal RNA (650 nucleotides) under Vreelandella aquamarina. RNAcentral's name for it is "bacterial SSU rRNA". It matches the Rfam family "Bacterial small subunit ribosomal RNA", at positions 758 to 1407 of the family's 1533-position model. The record is from RNAcentral. Lineage: Bacteria; Pseudomonadati; Pseudomonadota; Gammaproteobacteria; Oceanospirillales; Halomonadaceae.